GUAAAUAUAGUUUAAACAAAACCUUAGAUUGUGAUUCUAAUAACAGGUGUUAAAAUCACCUUAUCUACC
This 69-nucleotide transfer RNA is filed under the name Acentronura tentaculata. RNAcentral's name for it is "tRNA-His". It matches the Rfam family "tRNA". From Rfam's summary of the family: Transfer RNA (tRNA) molecules are approximately 80 nucleotides in length. Their secondary structure includes four short double-helical elements and three loops (D, anti-codon, and T loops). Further hydrogen bonds mediate the characteristic L-shaped molecular structure. tRNAs have two regions of fundamental functional importance: the anti-codon, which is responsible for specific mRNA codon recognition, and the 3' end, to which the tRNAs corresponding amino acid is attached (by aminoacyl-tRNA synthetases). tRNAs cope with the degeneracy of the genetic code in two manners: having more than one tRNA (with a specific anti-codon) for a particular amino acid; and 'wobble' base-pairing, i.e. permitting non-standard base-pairing at the 3rd anti-codon position. Lineage: Eukaryota; Metazoa; Chordata; Actinopteri; Syngnathiformes; Syngnathidae. The record is from RNAcentral.